UACGAAGGGGGCUAGCGUUGCUCGGAAUCACUGGGCGUAAAGCGCACGUAGGCGGACUCUUAAGUCGGUGGUGAAAUCCUGGAGCUCAACUCCAGAACUGCCUUCGAUACUGAGAGUCUCGAGUCCGGGAGAGGUGAGUGGAACUGCGAGUGUAGAGGUGAAAUUCGUAGAUAUUCGCAAGAACACCAGUGGCGAAGGCGGCUCACUGGCCCGGUACUGACGCUGAGGCGCGAAAGCUAGGGGAGCAAACAGG
RNAcentral lists this ribosomal RNA (253 nucleotides) under uncultured bacterium. RNAcentral's name for it is "partial 16S ribosomal RNA". It matches the Rfam family "Bacterial small subunit ribosomal RNA", at positions 524 to 776 of the family's 1533-position model. The record is from RNAcentral.